This 460-nucleotide ribosomal RNA is filed under the name uncultured bacterium. RNAcentral describes it as "partial 16S ribosomal RNA". It matches the Rfam family "Bacterial small subunit ribosomal RNA", at positions 338 to 795 of the family's 1533-position model. The record is from RNAcentral.
CCUACGGGAGGCAGCAGUGAGGAAUAUUGGUCAAUGGACGAGAGUCUGAACCAGCCAAGUAGCGUGAAGGAUGACUGCCCUAUGGGUUGUAAACUUCUUUUAUAUGGGAAUAAAACGUUCCACGUGUGGGAUUUUGUAUGUACCAUAUGAAUAAGGAUCGGCUAACUCCGUGCCAGCAGCCGCGGUAAUACGGAGGAUCCGAGCGUUAUCCGGAUUUAUUGGGUUUAAAGGGAGCGUAGGUGGAUUGUUAAGUCAGUUGUGAAAGUUUGCGGCUCAACCGUAAAAUUGCAGUUGAAACUGGCAGUCUUGAGUACAGUAGAGGUGGGCGGAAUUCGUGGUGUAGCGGUGAAAUGCGUAGAUAUCACGAAGAACUCCAAUUGCGAAGGCAGUUCACUGGACUGCAACUGACACUGAGGCUCGAAAGUGUGGGUAUCAAACAGGAUUAGAUACCCGAGUAGUC